UCGACAUGAAAUUCAAAUCACACUCCACAUCCCGACUCUCCUCAGUCCUCACUCCCGCUUUGCCUUCUUCGAACGCCUCCAUGAUUAUAUUGAUAUUCCUAGCUUCCCCUUUCUUGGAUGUUUUCAAUAAUUUGCAGCGAUGUGAUGCUUCAUGAUGCAAAGGUAUGCGAGCAGGCUACUGCAUGUGACACUGUUAUUUUAUCGACUCUUUUGUUAACUGAGAUUAACCAAAGAAUCCAACCGCCCGUGUCAGCGGUUGAAUAUCAUUUUGAGUCUUCCGCUUUGUGGCACUUGAAUAUCAUUUUGAGGUACAAUUAAAGGUUUUUGGGUUCUUUAAGAAUAAGAGUACAUUUAGGCAUUUGUUUUGGGUAUUUCUUCUGCUUAUGAUUUUGGGUUUCUUUAUAGGUGAACUUUGUUAAUGAUUCAAGGCAAGUAGUCCAUGGACUACUGGUUGAAGCAUUCUUAAAUGGAUUCAUCCCUCACAAUUUGUAUUGCUGUUUCUGGAAAACUCUGCUUAUUAUACAAACUGAUUGGAAAGGAUUUUGGAUUUCUUUAUUGGUGAAGUAUGUUGAUGACUCAAGGGUAGUAGUCCUUAUAGGUGAUCUCUUUGAUCAAUUCCUGUUUGCACUAAAACUCACAAUUUGUGUAAAAGAUGAAACUAUAUGUAAUAUAUAACUUGGUUGUGCUGUUGGGUCUGGCUUUGGUAGUUUUUACAGGUUGAGCAGUGUGAAUGAGUGCCAAACACUUAACAAAUGCAUUGAUAAAUAUAGGAAGAAGCUUUUUUGAUUUGUAACUACUGACUUUUAUUGGAUAGUAAUAAAAAUAGUGCUAAAAUAUGGUCUUAUUAGUAUUCUUUUUAUUUUCUUUGAGUACUUAUUUACUGUGUGCUGUGGGCUAUCCUUUUUAUUCUUUUAUUUCUUGGGCUGAUUAUGUAAUGGGCCUGCUGUGCCACUUAUGUUUCUUUUCUUUAUUGCUGCCAGUGCCACCUACUAGGGACAGAUUUAACAUUCUUUUUUUGACAAGUAAAACAGAAAUAUAUUAACUUGAAGAAAUAGAUACAAAAGAUUGAAUAGGAGGAAGAAAGGAAGGAUAGUAAGCAAGAAAGAUAUGAUCCUGCAGCAAAUUUUUACACCAUUUUGCAAGUUCAUGUGCAGGACCAUUGUUCAUUCGUUUAAUAUAUACAAACUUCAGAUUAAAAAAAGAAGAAGCUAAGUUCAAGGUUUCUGUGAUAAGUCCCAAAAGAUGCCAAGAAAGGUCCAUCCUUCUUUUAAGAGCAUUGAUCACUGACUGAGAAUCUGAGCAGAGGAUCAGAUUGGAUCUGUUCAUUUGACGCGCUACCAAAAGUCCUUGAUUUAUAGCAAAAAGUUCUGCUUCUUCCACUGAGGACAAGUUUUUUCUUCCUCCUGCUAUCUGUAAACACUCCAAGUGUUUUGUUAGACAAAUAAUACCAAAGGAGAAAACAGAAGGAGAAAUUUUCCCUGCAUCUGUGAAAAUAAUACAGUCAGUAUGUUUGUUGAGAAAAAGAUGUAAUCUAGGAACAAGAGGUUGGGUUAAAUUUUCAGUUGGGGAUUUAGCCGAAAUAUUCCUACAAAUGGAGUUAGUUUUCUGAAUAAUCCACAAGUUAGACACAUCUGAACUCUUGAAAAUUUUUUCAUUCCUAGCAAACCAUAUCUAGUACAAAGCUACUGCAUACCAAUUAAGUGCUGAAAUGAGGUCCAGUUUCUGAGGAAAAAUUUGAUUUAGAUAGAGAAUGCAAUCAGUCCAGUUGUGAAGAGUGUUAGUAUUUAAGUUAAGAUUCCAUGGAGAGGCAAAGAGGACUGAUUGAGUAAAGGAGCAAUGUAGGAAAAGAUGGUCUGUGGAUUCCACUUGGGUUUGGCAAAAAACACAAAGUUGGUUUGAUUCUGAGCAAAAAUUUUCUCUCUAACUGGAAGAUAAUUGAAAAUGAUACGCCAAAGUAGAAGCUGAUAUCGGGGAGGGCAAGUGAGUUGCCAAGUCCACUUAAUACAGGAUCGGAGGGCAGAGCUUAGAGGGGUUAAAUUAUCCUGUAUUAGAUGUUUGUAGGCUGCUGAGUUGGAGAAUUUGCCCAUGAAAUGUUUAGUCCAGAUCCAACAAGUAGGAAUAUUGUGAGGUAGGAUAGGCAUACUCAAGAUGGCAGAAGCCUAAUUAUCAUAAAAAAAGGAGUUAAUCAUUGAGGAAUUCCAACCUCCAUGUUGAAUAAGAUCAUUCACUUUUAUAGUAGCUGUAUUAUUGUUUAAAGGCCGUUGGAUCAUAUGGAAAGUAUGAUUGUUUUGGAUCCAGGGAACCUGAGAAAUGGGGGGAUUUGUUGAAUUUUCAGAAAUCAGAAAUCCUACUUCAUGGAAAAGGUUUUGGAGUUUAGGGGCAGUGGAUUUCCAAAAAAAGGAACUGGUCUGAGAUAUUCUUUGGGGGAAAUGGCAAUUAGGGACUUAGGCCCCAUGGUUGCUUCUCCGAGAAUUGAAAUCUCUCCUCUUUUCUCUCUUCCUCUUGUUUUCUGCUCUGUUUUGCUUUAUUUCUUGCUGAUUAUACAAUUGUUUGUUGAAGAUUAUUUCUGUGGUGAUUUACAAGUUUGUAUUAGAGCCAGGUUCUGAACCAACUGUCCUCAUCCAAAGCUAGUUUCUAAUAAGAUGUGGCUGCAUAGAAUUCACCAACCACAACAUAACCAUCAUAUUUUCCUGUAUCUACCUUCCAUACUUAGCAUCCUGUGGAUCGCUCCACUUUUGAGCCUGUAAGAUAUCCCAGCUUACCACACAUUCCUAUAUAUAGAUUGUGCUCAUUCCAAGUAGUUAUUCCCAUCAAACUUAAUUGCAGUAAUUUGUGAACUUAGGGUGUCCCCAGAGCUUCUAGGGUUACUCCUAGGAUCCACACCCCCGCUUAGAAUCUCUGCCAAAAGGAUCCAUCUCAGUCGGAAACAACUAAAGGAAUUCUUUAAACAAUAUAAGUAACUAUUCUUGACCAACAAUCAAGACCCCACACAAUUUUUCAGGGUUUCACUGAUCCUGGUGCCAAAACACAGUGAGAGAAACAGAAGUUGCUCCCAGUCUCACCAUAACACUCUGGAACACGUGGGAAUCUCAAGACCCCACACAAUUUUUCAGGGUUUCACUGAUCCUGGUGCCAAAACACAGUGAGAGAAACAGAAGUUGCUCCCAGUCUCACCAUAACACUCUGGAACACGUGGGAAUCUCAAGAACAAUAAAAACUUCUUAAACAAUACCUGAGUGCCACACCUGAACUUGCUUUAAGGUCUCCAAAUACAAGCUGAUCAGAAUUUUCUGAUUUUCUUCAAUUUUUGGGCUCCAAUCUCUAAGAACUCUUUUUAAGCAGCAAAACAAACUAAAACCUUCUCUCAAAAUCCUUAAAAAAUCAGGUAACAUUUGACAACAAUUGUAAUGAUCAGCCUCUUCACCUACUCACGUUCAUUUCUGAUCCUAGUGAAACAUGAACCCAAAGGAGAGAAAAAGAAGAGGAACCUGCACUAAUACCAACUUGUAAACCACCACAGUAGGAAUGUUCAAUAAAGAAUUGUAUAAUCAGCAAGAAAUUAAGCAAAACAGAGCAGGACAUAAGAGGAAGAGAGAAAAGAGAAGAGAGAAUUCAUUUUUGGGAGAAACAACCAUGGGGCCUAACUGCCACCCCAUUAUCUUAUGUAUAAUCUGAUUUAAUAAUGCAUAAAAAGAUAAAUCUGCAUGCCCCAAUAGGCAGAAGCAGUAAAGUAAAGUGGCAGAGGAGGCCCAUUACAUAAUCAGCCCAAGAAAAUAAAAGAAUAAAAAGAUAGCCCACAGCCUACAAUAAGUAAUCAAAC
Molecule: long non-coding RNA, 3820 nt
Organism: Nelumbo nucifera (sacred lotus)
Lineage: Eukaryota; Viridiplantae; Streptophyta; Magnoliopsida; Proteales; Nelumbonaceae
Source: RefSeq, a predicted model, not a curated record